Molecule: ribosomal RNA, 812 nt
Filed under: uncultured bacterium
Lineage: Bacteria
Description: bacterial SSU rRNA
Rfam family: Bacterial small subunit ribosomal RNA
Source: RNAcentral
GGAUUAGGCAUGCAAGUCGAGCGAGAAAGGGAUUCUUCGGAAGCCCGAGUAAAGCGGCGAAAGGGUGAGUAAUACAUGGAUAACCUACCCCUGAGAGGGGGACAACACCUGGAAACGGGUGCUAAUACCCCAUAAGACCACGGGUUCUUGGACCUGUGCUAAAAGAUGGCCUCUGUUUCAAGCUUUCGCUCAGGGAGGGGUUCAUGGCCUAUUAGCUUGUUGGUGGGGUAACGGCCUACCAAGGCUUUGAUGGGUAGCCGGGCUGAGAGGUUGUUCGGCCACACUGGGACUGAGACACUGCCCGGACUCCUCCGGGAGGCUGCAGUCGAGAAUCUUUCGCAAUGCGCGCAAGCGUGACGGAGUGACGCCGCGUGGACGAUGAAGGCCUUCGGGUUGUAAAGUCCAAUCGCAGGGGAAGAACGGUGGGAGGGAAAUACUCUGCCCAUUAGACGUUACCCUGGUCGAAGCGCCGGCUAAACACGUGCCAGCAGCCGCGGUAAUACGUGUGGCGCAAGCGUUGUUCGGAAUCACUGGGCAUAAAGAGUGCGUAGGCGGUGUCGUAAGUCGGGUGUGAAAGCCCUCGGCUCAACCGAGGAAUUGCAUCCGAAACUGCGGCGCUAGAGUACGGUAGGGGGGGGAGUGGAAUUCCUGGUGGAGCGGUGAAAUGCGUAGAUAUCAGGAGGAACACCGGUGGCGAAGGCGACUCUCUGGCCCGUUACUGACGCUGAGUGCACGAAAGCUAGGGGAGCAAACAGGAUUAGAUACCCUGGUAGUCCUAGCUGUAAACGAUGGGCACUAAGUAGAGGGGUUUU